CCCUUGGAGUGGGAUCUCCACCCAGACCCCAGGGGUCUGGGUUCCAGCCUUCCUUAAAAAUGGCCCAGUGGCUUCUCUGGAGCUCUGCACCCAGCUAGAGGAGCCGGCAAGGUUAGCAGAUACAACCCAGCUCCCAAGCUGGCCAGGCCCCACCCUCAAGAACUCAGUCUCAACCAGGGAGGCUGACACAUGAGUGGGCAAUGGUGGCUUCUGGGUAAAGAAGGGGGAUUGUAGUCAGGGGGACCCUCCUGGAGGAGGUGACACCAAACUGAGUCUUAACAGUCAAGUGUCAAGUUACAUUUAACAAAGAAAACAGGGUCGGGAGAAGGACAUUUUGGAGGACAGCAUCAUCCUCACAUUGAAUCCAUGAUGCAAGAUCCAACCCAAAUCCCGGUGCCUCCUCUAGGAAGCCUGCCCAGGGUGCCAGCCUGCACUGAACAACUCCUUCCUGGAGUCCCGAGACACCUGGAAUCUUCACAUCACACAGGAAGGGUAGGGUGGGACCGGUGUCUUACCAUUGGGUUCACAGACAAGGGAACCCCAGCUCACGGCAGGUGCAGUGGGGCGGGGCCCCAGCCAGCCAGGCUGAGACCUUGCUGGGUCAGGUCUGUCUCGAGGGGAGGUGCUGUGCUCCCUCUGCCCCUAGCCCUGCAGGGGUGGAGAGCUGGGACUGGCAGACUCAGACCUGGGGUGUCUCCACCCUCUGCCCAGCAGGCACCAGCUCCUCCUCGGCAUCGCACCGGCACCGUGUCCGUGCUCCUUAUGGGCUGAGGGGCCAGGGCGCUCCAGUCCAGGGACCGAGAUCUUGGGGGCCUUAGAACAACAUGAGGAGCUGGGGCAGCCCUAAGACCCUGCCCCGUAUCCCUCACCACAGACCUGGGGCUGCCUGGGAGGCCCCCUCCCAGUGCUAGCGACACCUGGUGGUCAGAAGCUGUCCCUGUGGCCUCCCAAGUCCCAGCCAGACAGGGAGGUGCCAGGUGUCAGGCCCAGAGGGACGCUGCUCACCGCUCAGGGGCUCGCCUGGGACCAAGGGACAGGCCUCCCAGAAGUGGCCCUUUAUCUCUCUUGGUCAAGCCUGCCGCCCACUCCGCCUGCCCAGGAGGAAGGAAACGGCCAAGUAGUACCUGAGAGGCCAAAGUCCAUGGUUGGGGUCGAGGGGCAGAGGCCUCCUUCACCUCCUUCUCAAGCACAGCCCUCUGGGCCUCAUCGUGAAGGUGCUGUCAGCCCAGGCCAGCUUCCCACAGGGAGGCCCUCUCGGAAUUCCCCAAGGGCGGCUGUCUUUCCAAGGCCACACCCUCCUCCUUGUAUAGGAGGCUCUGGACCUGGGGCCCAGAGGAGUGGGAGAGAAAGCUGGGCUGGAUGGGGCCUGGAAGGCUGGCAGAGAGGCAGGGGUAAAUGGGCAUCCUUGCCGAUUGCCUCUAAAAUGAGGUCCCCUUUAGUCUACACGUGAGAGUGAGCCCUGGAAUAGGGUGGAUUAGGUGUGUCCUGGCUCAGCCUGCCACUCACUAGCUGCUGCACACACUACAGGCACAUGGAAAUGCACACGCAAAUGCACACAGACACAGGCACACGCACAUACAGGCGCGCACACAGACACACACAGGCACGCACACACAGGGACACGCACAGUCAGGCACACAUACAGGCGCGCACACACACACAGGCACACAAACACGCACAAGCACACGCAGAGACAUAUGCUUUUUCUGGCUGCUUCCUGUGUAGUUAGGAAGCCCCCACCCCUUCAGGAAGCCCUUGCCUCCCACCCCCGGCUGAGUCAGGGGCCUCCUGGGCCCCCCACAGGCUCCUGGGCUUCCCUCUGCCCCAGCCCGGGCCACCUUUGUGGUCAGUGUUCAGUCCCAGGUCCCUCAGACUGGGAGCAAGGAUGUUAGGCUCAGCCAUGCACCCAGCACAGAGUCCAGUGUUCGGCUGGGCCGGGGGGCAUCGGAUGAGCAGUUGCGGUGACUCGGGACCUUCUCACGCCCCUGCUCCGUGUGUGCCACAAAAUCCCAGGGUGGCUGUACGGUUCCUACUUUAUUAGGAGUAAUAUCAUCCAUUCACCCCCUGGAUAAGAGGAACCAUAUCACUGAAGAGGUGUCCACCCCCUUCGAUAUUGUCAGCCAUGUCAUCCUCUUCCCGCCUGGAUAUUAGGAAGGAUACCCAGGGGUUGGGAGCGGUGUACACCCACUGCGAUCUCGAAAGUAAAAUCAGCCGUUUUCCCGUGGAUAUUAGGAACUAUAUCACAGGUGUGUGUGCACCUUCUGGGAUAUUGGGAGUACUAUCAGCUGGGAUUUUGUCCUUAAUAACCACAGAGGAGAGGUGAUAUUACUACCAAUAUUGCAAGGGGUGUACACCCUCCUGUGAUAUUGUUUCUUAUAUCCAGGAAAGGAGAAGAUUGUCUUAGUACCAAUAUUGAAGGGAUGGACAGCCCCCAUGGGAUAUUGUUCUAAAGAUACAAGUUGAAAGAGGAUGAGCUUCCAUCCAGUAUAACAAGGGGUGUACACCCCGCCUGUGAUAUGAAUCGUAAAACCUAGAAGAAGAGAGAAUGACAUUGCUUCCAAAAACACACGUGGUGUACACCCACCCUGUGAUAUUGUUCCUGUCAUCUAAAGGAAGAGAUGAUGAUACUACUCCCACUACCGGAGAAGGUACACACCCCCCUGUGAUAUUGUUCCUCAUAACUUGUGGGGGAGAGCGUGAUAUUACUUCCAAUAUGACAGUGGCUUGACACCCAGUCUGUGAUAUUGCUCCUCAUUUCCAGUAGGUAAAGUAUGAUGUGUCUGCCGAGAGAGUAGUAGGUGCACAGCUGCCCUGUGAUGUGUCUCCGAAUAUUCAGGGAAACACAGGAGGACAUUACCCCAAAUCUCCCAAAAGGUAUACACCUAUUGUGUGAUAUGGUUCCUAAUAUCCGGAAGUGCAGAGAUUGGUAUUCGUUCUCCUGUCGCAGGCUGUAUACAUGCAUCCGGUGAAAUUGUUCCUAAUAUCCUGAACAAAAGAGACUGCUAAUAAUGGACACACAUUGCAGGGGGGAGUAAUUGGCUCUUAUGAUCCACAUCGCAGGGGGUGAGGCACUCCCCACGAUAUGGGGAGUAAUAGCAACCCCCUCUCCCCCCAGGCUAUUACGAUCCACAUCGCAGGGCAGUUCAGGACACCAGCCCUGCCCCAACCUUGACCCAGACAGUGGGUAUCAUGGGACCACCUCAGGGUGGGUGGCAGCUCAGCUCGAAGGUAUCCCUGCUGCCAAAGACCAACUGUUCCUGCUAGUUUGAAUCUGGCCACAGGGUCUCUGUUGGUGAGACAGGUGACCAUGAGGCAGACACCCUGAAAUCUAGCACGACAGAGCUCAACGUCCCCAUGAGAGGCACCAUGGCACGCAGACUUUGCAGACAUACUAGCGAAGGCCACAGCAGGUCCUGAGUGAGGAACAAGCUGACCAAGAUCCUGGGGUCCUGCCACACAACCUUUAAACCAGGGACUGGAAACUGUUUCCCUAAAGAGCCAAGAAUCAGUAUUUUCAGCUUUGCCAACUGAUCUUUGUCUCAAGGACGCAACUCUGCCAUGGCUGCACCACAGCAGCCUUCUGCAGGUGGCCUGUGAAGAGAUGGGCAUGACUGCACCCCCAUCAAACUUUACUUAUGGAUGUGGAAACUUCUCAGUGUCAUGAAGUGUUAGUUUAUUUGUUCAACCAUUUGGAAACAUAAAAUCCAUUCUUGAUUCACGGGCCACAAGAGCAGGCAGGGACAGGCUGCCCCUGGCCGACCUCUGGAAUGAGCUUAGAGAAGGACAUGACAGGCUGGGCCAGCGCAGCCUCCUCACAGCAGAUUCGCUGCAGGAGGGUCCUUCUUAGCAGCCACUUCUCAUCCUUCAUCUUGGCUUCAGAUGCAGUUCAGGUGGAGAAAGAGAGAACAGAACUGGCCUCAGCAACAAGGAGGAAGGAGAUGCAGGGUCAAGUAGCCACGUGGAUCCAUCACACUCAACACUCACACCAAGCGGAGCACAGGCAGGACCAGCCCGGGGGCGCCAAAGUGGAGGCUCUCUGGGAUGAGAGACCUCUGGCUGGGCAAGAUUCUCUACCUAAAACUCAUAUAGAAGAUCUACACGGCAGUAGUUACAGAAAACACACACUAAGAAAGAGCCCAAGAUGAAAACAGCACACCAAGCUUGGCCAACCGGCUCUCACAAGCCAGUAGGUAAGAAAGCCCAGGAGAGCCCACCAGAGGAGCUGGGGGUGGGUUCCUGCCUGCAGGGGGCCUGGGACAUCCCAUUCCCACAGACGAGGACCCAUGUUUUGGGGAGGAAGCUGUCAGAGUCACCAGUGAGCUGUUCAGAGCUGGAGCCACAGAGCAGGAAACACGCGGACCCCAACAUCUGGCGCAGUGAGCAGGGUCCGUGGCUCCACGAGAGCAAGGAACCGGAGGGGGAACACCCCGGGCAGGCGCGGGAAGACGGCGGGCAGGUGCCGGAGACAAGUGGUUUCCAUCUCGACGGUUGAAACAGUGCCAUGGCGAAGAGGAGCCGAUCCGAAGAGUUCCUCAAGGAAUUUCAGGAGCUAAAUCUGAGUGCUCAGAGAACAUUCACCUUCAGGACUGGGCGUGCGGAGCCCCCGACAUGGGGUCAACUGAAAAAGCUUACUCAGAAAGCUGAAGGGGUCAUUCAACAAGCGGGCAGCCCAAAACCCCACUGACUUUAUUCCUGGCUAUGCUGGCCAUAGUAAAUUGUCAGGAGGAGGGGGCACCCAGAAGGGGCCCUGAAGUCAAGGGCAUCGUCCAACCUUUCUACCUCCCCAGCUGAAGACAUGCUGGAGGACAUUUCUCCAGUUUCAUAACAAAGAAGAGAAAAAAGAAAUCAAAAAGACCUGGAGGAUAGGGAGUGUGACCACUGUAUGUCAGCCACUGGGGGACAGGCUUCAGCUUACAACCACCUUCCAAAUUCCACCCUCUCACCUUGGCAGAAGCUGGCCAGGAAUUGGGGCCAAUGGAUGGGUGGGGUCUGCACG
Long non-coding RNA from Piliocolobus tephrosceles (Ugandan red Colobus), 4996 nucleotides. RefSeq lists it as uncharacterized. The transcript is spliced from 5 exons. NCBI's taxonomy places the organism in Eukaryota, Metazoa, Chordata, Mammalia, Primates, Cercopithecidae. The record is from RefSeq and is a predicted model, not a curated record.